This 3230-nucleotide long non-coding RNA is filed under the name Sus scrofa (pig). Its description in RNAcentral is "lncRNA (ENSSSCG00060044848.1)". The record is from RNAcentral. Lineage: Eukaryota; Metazoa; Chordata; Mammalia; Artiodactyla; Suidae.
ACGCAGGUUCGAUCCCUGGCCUUGAUCAGUGGGUUAAGGAUCCGGCAUUGCCGUGAGCUGUGGUGUAGGUUGCAGACAUAGCUUGGAUCUUGUGUUGCUGUGGUUGUGGUAUAGGCUGGCAGCUACAGCUCCGAUUGGACCCCUAGCCUGGGAACCUCCAUGUGUGCAGGUGUGGCUCUAAAAAGAAAAAAAAAAAAUUAACAACAAAAAAGAAAUAAUACUGAAAUAGCAUUAUACUAACAUAAAAAAUUAAGGUGGAAUCUUAGCAAAGAGAGUUUUGCUUGAACUGUUUCAUCUGGGUUUUGGGGGGGUUUUUUUUGGUCUUUGGACAAAAAACGCGGCUCGGAUCUGGUGUGGCUGUGGCUGUGGUGUAGGCCAUCAGCUACAGAUCUGAUUCGACCCCUUCUUCUAGCCUGGGAACCUCCAUAUGCUGUGGGUGCAGCCUGAAAAAAAAAAAAAAAAGUAUAAAAGGCGGAACUAGUAACUCUUAUGCAAAGUGACUUAUAAGGCACCAGGAGAAUACACCAAGGAUAUAAUACUAAGAUGAUAAUGUUAUUUCAGCCUUAUCUUCAACUUCAGAAGACAGAUAUCUAAAACCAGUAUUAACUUCAAAUGAGUAUGCUUAGGUGACAUGUAUCUGAUUACAUGCUCUAGGUUUACUUUUGCUUGAAUUUUGCACCCUACUGCCUAACAAGUUAUUUUUAGCCUUCCUCUUGCCUCGUUUCCAUGCACAAAUUGUGCAGCCCUAACCAGUAUCCACUGCCAACCUGGAUUUCUUCCAUUGUCCUCUCAUCUCCAUUGCCCCAUAGAUCUCAUCUAUCUAUAUAUCUCAACCAGAAAAACUGAGUGACAGGAGACUAUUUUUUUUGUAUGUCAGUUAUACUUCAAUAAAAAUCUAUUAUUAGUUUCAAGUGUACAACAUAGUGAUUUGAGACUUAAACAUUAUGAGAUGAUCAUCAUCAUAAAGCCUAGUUAUCAUCCACUAGCAUUUAAAGUUAUUACAAUAUGGAGUUCCUGUUGUGGCUCAGUGGGUUAAGAACCCUAACUAGUAGCCAAGAGGAUGUGGAUUCAAUCCCUGGCCUCACCAGGUUAAGGAUCCAGUGAUGCCACAAGCUACAGCAUAGGUCGCAGAUAGGGCUCAGAUCUCUCGUUGCUGUAGCUGUGGCGUAGGUCUGCAGCUGGUGUUCUGAUCCAGCUCCUAGCCCAGGAACUUCCAUGUGCCACAGGUACAGCCCUUAAAAAAAAAAAAAGUUAUUACGAUAUUAUUGACUGUAUUUCCUAUUCUGUAUAUAACAUCCUGAUGACUUAUAAUAACUGCAAGUUUGUACCUCUUGAGACUUUUUCCAAAAACUCCAAAAAAUGAGUAUAUCUGAUGAUAUUAAGAUGUAAAGGAAUCUAUAGCUCCACUGUCUAAAACAAUGCCCAACACGUAGUAGCUGCUCAGUAUUUGUUGAAGGAGUAAAAUGCCUUAGUAAACCUGUAAUUAGCAUGAGAAUAGCUGCUCUGCUAUGAAGCUGGCUCAGACAUUUCUGAAUUGAUGUUUUUGUCCAUCUAGAAAGCCACCAGCUCCUCUCGAAGUGAACAUGAAGGGCGGAAAGGCACUAUUUCACAGUAUUUCACUACCUUACACUGUCCUGUGUGUGAUGACCUGACUCAGCAUGGCAUCUGUACUAAAUGUCGCAGCCAACCUCAGCACGUUGCAGUCAUCCUCAACCAAGAAAUUCGAGAGUUGGAACGUCAACAGGAGCAGCUUGUAAAGAUAUGCAGAAACUGUACCGGUUGCUUUGAUCGACAUAUUCCGUGUGUUUCUCUGAACUGCCCAGUACUUUACAAACUCUCUCGAGUAAAUAGAGAAUUAUCCAAGGCACCAUAUCUCCGGCAAUUACUAGACCAGUUUUAAGUUGUCAAUAUCACAGAAUUCCAGGUGCUAUUUUUUUCAGUGUUUACCACUAAACUGUUGUGCAUGGUGCUUUUUCAACUUUCAUCAAGUCAAGUAUGUUCAUUGUCUGUCUGUUAUCUGGAGACUAUGAAGACUUUUAUGCUAACUGAAUUAAAAAUUGUACUUGUUGAUCUCUGAAUAGCUCAUUUCUUACAAUGUACAAAUUUCUCAUCCUUUCACCUUUUUAACAUUGUUUUAUAAUGCAGGUGUCUAGAAUUUGCUCCAGUAUGUGUAACAUCUUGUAAAUCCAUUUGAGUAGAUCAUAUUUACUUCCCUGUGGAAGGAGCACUGAAAACCUCUUUUAAAAAAACCAUUCGUGUUUUCCUUGAAAUGUCUGUUAUCAAGACGUGUUAGAGAUAUUCAUUCACUUUAUAAUUUUGACUGCGAAAUAUUUUGUAAAUACACUUUUUUACUUUUCAAACAACUGAGUAAAAAUAAUGUGCAAUGAAUUUUAUACAAAUGAUUUUCAAGUUGUUUGGUAUAUAUAUCCUCUAGGUUUUGCUUGACUCAGAGUAGAGUUGUUAUUUUGAUCAAACUGUGCAAACAAUAGUACCAUGUGUAGCAUUUUGAAACAUUAUUUUCUAAAACCGCUGUCUUGCUUUAGCUAUUAAUGGGGCAUUGUGAGGAACUGUGCAAAGACAUUUUUGUUACAAACCUGUGGGCCUGUUGCAAUACUUUAAAAAUAAAAAAUUUUAUUCCAUUUUUGCUUGUUUUGUAUAGACAUUUCUAUUGCUUCUAAAUAUGCUUAAAAUAUUUUCUUUCCUUACGUACUGUACAGUUAAUCUUAUUUGCCAUCAUCUUGAACACAAAAUGUGUAUUUAGAAUAUUUGUAUAACUGUAUAAAAUAAAAAAGGAAUUAUGUGGUCAGUGCAUUGUUUUUUAAACUGGAAAUCAUUUUGUUUUAAAAGUUAAUAAUGGAAACCAUAUUAAAAUUGAAUAAAAUAUGAAAUAUGGCAGUGUGGUUUUAUCUUGCUGUAAAAUAGAAUUAUUUUCAUCUAAAAAAAAUAAAUAAAUUAGGAGUUCCCCUCAUGGCGCAGUGGUUAACAAAUCCGACUAGGAACCAUGAGGUUGCGCGUUCGAUCCCUGCCCUUGCUCAGUGGGUUAAGGAUCUGGCGUUGCCAUGAGCUGUGGUGAAGGCUGCAGAUGCGGCUCGGAUCCCGCGUUGCUGUGGCUCUGGCGUAGGCAGGUGGCUACAGCUCCGACUGGACCCCUAGCCUGGGAACCUCCAUAUGCCACGGGAACAGCCCUAGAAAAGGCAAAAAGACAAAAAAAAAAAAAAAAAAAAAAAAAA